Molecule: ribosomal RNA, 391 nt
Filed under: uncultured bacterium
Lineage: Bacteria
Description: bacterial SSU rRNA
Rfam family: Bacterial small subunit ribosomal RNA
Source: RNAcentral
ACGGACUUACAUUGAAGCCUAGCGAUAUGUAAGUUAGUGGCGGACGGGUGAGUAACGCGUGGGUAACCUGCCUUGUACUGGGGGACAACAGUUGGAAACGACUGCUAAUACCGCAUAAGCGCACAGCUUCGCAUGAAGCAGUGUGAAAAACUCCGGUGGUACAAGAUGGACCCGCGUCUGAUUAGCUGGUUGGUGAGGUAACGGCCCACCAAGGCGACGAUCAGUAGCCGGCCUGAGAGGGUGAACGGCCACAUUGGGACUGAGACACGGCCCAAACUCCUACGGGAGGCAGCAGUGGGGAAUAUUGCACAAUGGGGGAAACCCUGAUGCAGCAACGCCGCGUGAGUGAAGAAGUAUUUCGGUAUGUAAAGCUCUAUCAGCAGGAAAGAAA